Molecule: ribosomal RNA, 292 nt
Filed under: Winogradskyella sediminis
Lineage: Bacteria; Pseudomonadati; Bacteroidota; Flavobacteriia; Flavobacteriales; Flavobacteriaceae
Source: RNAcentral
UAAGGUGGUUAUAGCGACGGGGCUCACCUCUUACCAUUCCGAACAGAGUAGUUAAGCCCGUUUGCGCCGAUGGUACUGCUUUACUGUGGAAGAGUAGGUCGCCGCCUUUUUUGAAAACCCUUACUAGUGAUCUAGUAAGGGUUUUUUGUUUUUUACUCCUUUUUUAAUAGUUCUGUUUGCUAUUAGUUAGUACCGAUUUUGUUAUAUUAAUACUUUGAUAGAGAAAAAAUAGCUAUGAAUGUAAAUAAGGAAUUAGAAUUAGCAUGGAAGUUUGUAAAUAAUACAAAUAGGA